RNAcentral lists this long non-coding RNA (489 nucleotides) under Mustela putorius furo (domestic ferret). RNAcentral's name for it is "lncRNA (ENSMPUG00000025223.1)". Lineage: Eukaryota; Metazoa; Chordata; Mammalia; Carnivora; Mustelidae. The record is from RNAcentral.
UUAUUUUCAUGCUAAAAAAAUUUACCCUCUUGGAAGCCGAGUGUAUGUGUUUGUGUGUGUGUGUGUGUGUUUAAAAAACCUUGGCAUGAGCACAAGAGGCCGACCCUUAGCUUCAGAGGAGGAGGAAGUGCAGUGAGGGACAGCCGCAGAGGGCACGAGGGAGGGCCGGAUGAGUCAGUGUCUUUGCAACGCCCUCCUCUCAGGAGUGAGCCAAGCCAGUCCAUCCAGUGCUGUCUCGGAAAUAGAAAUCCCGUAGAAGCGACCGCUGUGGUGAUGACAGUGUGGUCGCCAUCAACCCCAGUUGGGAAGCAGGAGAUCCUCCUUCUGAGGAACCGGCAGAAGAUCAGGAGCAGCCUACCGCCGCGUCCCUAUGCGGGUGCCGCUCCCCGCUCUUCGUCCCAUCCCACGGGCCUUUGAUCCUCUCGCAUCAUCCCAGAAGGGUGAGUGCAGCACAGUACGAGACUGUGAGAGACGGCAUCCACAGACCUC